GAGACUUUGAGAGACACAAGUGUUGCAGUAUAACUUGUGUGAACCUAUUUUUAUUCUAAGUGAAUUGAGUGAGGUUGUCUCUCUUGAUAGUUUAUACUCUCUUUUAUAUAGUGGAUUGCUCAUCUCUUUUUGUGGAUGUAGGUCAAUUGACCGAACCACAUUAAAUUAUUGUAUCUCUUUUAGUAUAUUUCUUGUUUAUCUUUGUAUGUGGUAUUUUUUGAGGUUU
This 226-nucleotide long non-coding RNA is filed under the name Capsicum annuum. RNAcentral describes it as "long non-coding RNA (CANN_LNC022361)". Lineage: Eukaryota; Viridiplantae; Streptophyta; Magnoliopsida; Solanales; Solanaceae. The record is from RNAcentral.